Molecule: ribosomal RNA, 164 nt
Filed under: uncultured bacterium
Lineage: Bacteria
Description: partial 16S rRNA
Rfam family: Bacterial small subunit ribosomal RNA
Source: RNAcentral
UAGGGAAUCUCCCACAAUGGGCGAAAGCCUGAUGGAGCAACGCCGCGUGUGUGAUGAAGGGUUUCGGCUCGUAAAACACUGUUGUAAGAGAAGAAUGACAUUGAGAGUAACUGUUCAAUGUGUGACGGUAUCUUACCAGAAAGGAACGGCUAAAUACGUGCCAC